UACGUAGGGUGCGAGCGUUGUCCGGAUUUAUUGGGCGUAAAGAGCUCGUAGGCGGUUUGUCGCGUCGGCCGUGAAAUCUCCACGCUUAACGUGGAGCGUGCGGUCGAUACGGGCAGACUUGAGUUCGGUAGGGGAGACUGGAAUUCCUGGUGUAGCGGUGAAAUGCGCAGAUAUCAGGAGGAACACCGAUGGCGAAGGCAGGUCUCUGGGAAUGUCCUGACGCUGAGGAGCGAAAGCGUGGGGAGCGAACCGG
Molecule: ribosomal RNA, 253 nt
Filed under: uncultured bacterium
Lineage: Bacteria
Description: partial 16S ribosomal RNA
Rfam family: Bacterial small subunit ribosomal RNA
Source: RNAcentral